Molecule: long non-coding RNA, 1808 nt
Organism: Balaenoptera ricei (Rice's whale)
Lineage: Eukaryota; Metazoa; Chordata; Mammalia; Artiodactyla; Balaenopteridae
Exons: 2
Source: RefSeq, a predicted model, not a curated record
GUCCCGUGAUGUGAUGGUGUCGGCAGAUGGCACAGCACGUGCAGAUGCCUCGAGGCCCUGAGCUGGAGACCAGAGGGUGGAGCGGGCAGGAUGAGGAAUUGCGGGGCCAGAUCUGGGAGACUGGAUGGAAACUCCCGAGAAUAAACACGAAGGGAUAGGAGUCUGCUGAAGUGAAAGGAGACGCAGAAGCACAGGAGGCCAGGUCUCGGGGUGAAGCAGCAACUCCAGAGCACUCCCUUUUGGGGCCUCUUAGAUUUGUUACCCUAUUUGUGGUCCACUUGGAACAGAGUUGAGCUUCCAGAAGUACUUUUUUUUUUUUUUUCUUCAUAAGGUGGGCUCAGGAAGGUCGAGAAAGAUGGAGGCUGUGGACCCAAGAAGCUAGUCCCAGGGGUGCCUUGGAAGCUGCUUCCUGGAGACGUUGUCAGGUCACGGAAGCAUCUGAAUCCGAGACGAUGAAGUCCUGUCCCGUGGAAUGUCCACAAGGAAGGACCACUAGGCCCAAGUGAACCUUUUGCUGAAAGACCAGCCACAGAUGGGCGGCUGACCAGAGGCCUUGACAAUGACUACUGAUAUGGUGCAAGAAGAUGAGCUGGACCAAUCCGAUGUCCCCCUUUUUCCUUCUGGGCAUUCGAACUCAGAAAUAGCCAGAAUGUUUGUCCAAUCCUUGAUGGAAAGAAGUACAUGGCUGGCUGUGAGCACUUUACAUGUUCUCAAAUCAAAUGCUUCUAGCUAGGUUUCCUGUGGUGGCUAAAAUACUUUCUUUGGGGGUUCACUGUGCAUUUAUUAACCAUUCUAUUUUUGUACCAUACAAAUUAUCCUUGCUGAUGGUUGAAUGGCUGGAUUUGGGGAAGGGUGGUAGCCCUAAUAGAAUUAAUUAAUUGAAUAAUAUUGCCUGACAAAUGGCUCUGUAUACCAAAGAGGGAUUGAGACUUAAUUACUGAUGUCAUUUAUCUCUCUAUUUGCACCCCAACAAUAAGUGACUCGUUUCUCAUUAACGUUGGGUCAUCUUCCAAAAGGAAGAAAAGAGGCCAAAAUAUCAGGGAGGGAAAAAAAAAUUCGAUGUCUUUGUUCCCCACCUCAUUAUCCUGAUAACUCAUAACAGACUCUGUUAAUUAAAUGGGCAGCUUUAACUGGCUGACUCCUGUCCAGCAAUUACCUCAGAGAGAAGCACCACUGGGGGCAUUUCCUUCCCUUGGGAGGAUAUGAAAGGAAGUCUGUAUCAGAGGAAGGGAUCGUUUCCCUGGCCAUGCUGGGGGGAUCACAGUUGUCAAGGCGAAUUUCUGGACUGAAGGGCUGGAGCUGUUUCAGGGGUGUCCCAUUAUGGUGACGGCGGGGUGUCUGACGCUGCCCUCCUAAUCUAAGGCUUAGGUCAUUGUCCCCGGUGCCUCCAAUCCCCCCGGGAAGAUUAGAGCCUAAUUAAACAGGGGAACAGGUGUAAGAGGGCCUGAUUUAAUCUGGCCAAAUUAAUUGCUGAGAUUGGGCUUGCAUUUGGUAACUGGAAACAGUGAAUUAACUACAGCUGGAAUACAGCUAAUCCCUCAGUAUUGCUGUGUCUGUGUGUAAAACAGACUGGACUUGCUGGGAACACAAACAAAGAGGGAUUUGAAGGAAAGGUACAAUGCAUCCUUGCCUGGGAAAGGCUGGAUAAUGAGCCUCGCCACAGACGGUGGCCGUAAGUCUCAGACUGCGUGCCUAGGACAGUCCUGGUUUAUGCCUGUUGUCCCUGCAAAAUUAUUAAUGGUGCCCCCCUUUCAUUCUUAUAAAACAAUCCCAGUUUGGACUAUAAAUAAAUAGUUACCGUACUUCAA